This 72-nucleotide transfer RNA is filed under the name Crypturellus undulatus. Its description in RNAcentral is "tRNA-Ile". Lineage: Eukaryota; Metazoa; Chordata; Aves; Tinamiformes; Tinamidae. The record is from RNAcentral.
GGAAAUGUGCCCGAAGCCUUAGGGGUCACUAUGAUAAAGUGAACAUAGAGGUACUCAACCCUCUCAUUUCCU